UGACCGCGCACACACAGACACACAUACACACUUAUCCUGCACCCAAAUGACAGAGUUACACGGAGCCCAGUCAGACACAGCAUGUUUCCUCCCUACCUUCUGCUAUUGACCGUGGGAGGAUCUCUGCCGCUAAUUAGAGACACUGAAAUCCUGGAAGUAUCAACCACAAAUAGCACUCUGAAGGCACCCGUCCUUUUUUAAAUGUAAUGUGUUUAUUCCCCUUGGCUCUCCUCUCUUUUUCUCUCAAAGAAGCCCCUACUUAAUUCAAGAGCCCUACCUCUACCAUCUAGCUCAGGUACACCUAUAGAUGGGGGUACGUUUCUCCUCCUCGGGAGCCAAUUUUUGGCCAGCGAAAAAUACAGGCAUGCCCGAAAAUAGUGAUAAAUGAAAUCGGGUGCGAUGGGAUUGGGAAGUGAGGAAAGGGCUAGGAGCGAGCGGCGGCUGGACAGAAGCCCUGGCAGCAGCAGGACAGAAGCCCCGGCCCCCCCGCCUGGCCACUGCCCCCUCCCAGCACAUGCGACGGGACCUGAGGUCUGGAAAUCCUUUCCUAUCCCUUCUGGAGAAUCCUUCCCCACCCCCAAUCCUGUGCAAGUUCUUCAGGGGAUGGGGAAGAGCGGUGAACUUUUGCACCUGAUCUCCCCCCGCAGGCUCCCAGGCAUUCCUGAGGCACGCUCCCGGCUGCCUCAGGCAGCAGCAAUGAGGGAGGAACGCUGAGCCCUUCCAGCCGCUCCGUCUGCAAGGGUUAACCGGGGAAUGGAGCAGUGUCCUUCCUGCUGGAAGCACGCCACCUGAACGCGAAAUCAAACCUACUCACCGGGUGAAAUUGCAGGAGGCGAAGCGGCCGUGAAUAAAACGCAUCCCGGCUCCAAGCAUAUAGUCCAUGAUCUGCGGCUUCAAGCUAAAGGAUGGCCCUGCUCCCCGGCCGGCGCCGCUCUCCCUCGGACCCCGGCACGGAAGGGCGGCGGAGACCCCUGAGCGGGGAAGCGGCUUUUGGGAGCGACCCUGCGGCCAGGAGCGAUUGAGGGAGAGGGGAUGGGCGGAAAUUCCCCUGCUCAUCACCCGAGUCCCUCUCCUGCCCCGGGUAAGCGGAGCAUCGGCCCUCCAUUUCCCCCGCUUCUCGAUGCUUCCAGCCUCUCGGCAUGGAAAUAAUGGAAAAAUCCCCCUUUUCCUCGCAUAGCGGCUCCGGAAUGCGUGCGGAAUUUGAAGGUGUGUGAGGUCCAGCAUUUAUGGAGCUUGAUACAUGUCCCCCCACUCUCCUGGUCCCUCUUCUACACCCGUGCUGUGACCAGACACGCGUUCAUGGCUAAUAAAAAUGCUUUUCCCUGGGCACAGUCGGGCCGAGAGCUCAGCACGGGUAAGCUGCAGGCAGUCCGUGUCAGGAGCAGCGUGCAGGGCUGUGUGCACCCCUGGCCGGGCAGGAUGGGUGAGCAGUAACCAUGAGAUGAUGCGAUGUGUGUGCCAGGCAAUGUGGAGAGUUACAGCAGCACUGCUGCGUGCGCUCUCCAAAAGAGAUGGCAAUCUCUGGGUUGUUAUUAAGAAGCUUUUUGUCUUCUUUCUAUUGUCUCUGUAAGCAGCACUGUGAAGCGUUCGUGUCUGCUUGCCAGCCUGGCAGUUUCAUGUUUCCAGAAUCUGCUGGGGGGGAAAAGUCGGAAACCGCAGGAACCCAAGAUUCCUCUGGCACCACAUUGGUUCGUUCCUGUCAGCAUGUCUAAUUAUUCUUAUGCUAAAGAAUCGUGGAGUGAAAUGAAUCUUAGCAGUGAUUUACGCUGCUUGGGGCUUUAUUGAUUUUUUUUUUCUUUAGCGAGGAUGUAAGAAAAGGAGUGAAGGAAGAAUGAUAUGGUUUGUAAAGAAAAGAAUUCAGUGUACAUUUCAAGUGUGGUCGCUGUUAAAUAUGUCGAUAUAGAUACGAUUCUUUAUGCAGUUAUAAACACAAAAGGUCUCUUUGCCUCAGGAUGUGAUUUCUCUUACAGCCACAGGCUCCUCUGCCCCCUUCUCUCCCCUUAUCUCCUCCCCUUCAGCUCCUCCUGACAGAAUGAGGUUUAAAAGGUCAGCUUUUAUGUAAAUAUUGUGCCUUCCUUAACAAAGACAGCUGCACAUCAAGCCUGCAAUGACUGUCAAAUAGACUUGGGGUUCAAGGCAUCCCAUAAGGGCACUGUCCGUUUUCUAAGACUGAUAAAAUCUCGCAGAAAACAAAGGACAGACGUGGUGCGUGCCUGGGAUGGACCAACAGCACCAGGGAGCACAUGGGCAGCAGCACCGCCACGGCAGAGUUUGGUACUGCAGUGUCCAUCGGGCCUUCCCACCGCAUGUGUGCGACAGAGGGACCCACAGAAUGCAUAAAAAGAGAUUUGCUGCUAUGCUAAUGCCUUUCUGCUCUUUCCAUCAGGUUUCUUCUUCUUUCAAGUGAUGUUCUAGGCUGAACUCUCUUUGCAGCUCCUUCACAGCAAAGGUAGCUUCAAUCAGCCAAGGAGGAUUUUGAGUCUGACCAACCUCAUCCUCCCAAGGAAAGAGAUGGACUUCAUCAGUCUCUGGCUCAGACACUUCACAAUUAGAUGCAGUUUCUACUUCAUAGCAUCCAGAGGUGCAGUGCAUAUAAUCUGUGCUCUCUUUCCCUCCCUGCCACCUUCUUUCACUUACAGAGCAGGACACCUUGGUUUCCUCAAGUAGCAUCAACUCUUCUGGUUCUUUUCCACUUUAAAUUGAAUAAGAAUAUUCUGAUAUUAUUCACUUUCGAGAAUCAUGGAAUAGUUCAUUUGUGAAGGGACCUUAAAGAUGAUCUAAUUCCAG
RNA transcript from Passer montanus (Eurasian tree sparrow), 2787 nucleotides. It is a transcript of the gene named transcription factor jun-D-like, with no coding region annotated. The record is from RefSeq and is a predicted model, not a curated record. Lineage: Eukaryota; Metazoa; Chordata; Aves; Passeriformes; Passeridae. The transcript is spliced from 3 exons.